RNAcentral lists this ribosomal RNA (254 nucleotides) under uncultured bacterium. Its description in RNAcentral is "partial 16S ribosomal RNA". It matches the Rfam family "Bacterial small subunit ribosomal RNA", at positions 524 to 776 of the family's 1533-position model. The record is from RNAcentral.
UACGGGGGGAGCAAGCGUUGUUCGGAUUUACUGGGCGUAAAGGGCGCGUAGGCGGCCAGCACAAGUCAGUUGUGAAAUCUCUGGGCUUAACCCAGAAAGGUCAACCGAUACUGCGGGGCUAGAGUGCAGAAGGGGCAACUGGAAUUCUCGGUGUAGCGGUGAAAUGCGUAGAUAUCGAGAGGAACACCUGCGGCGAAGGCGGGUUGCUGGGCUGACACUGACGCUGAAGCGCGAAAGCUAGGGGAGCGAACGGG